AACUUUUAACAAUGGAUCUCUUGGCUCUCGCAUCGAUGAAGAACGCAGCGAAAUGCGAUACGUAAUGUGACUUGCAGAAUUCAGUGAAUCAUCGAAUCUUUGAACGCACCUUGCGCCCCUUGGCAUUCCGAGGGGCACACCCGUUUGAGUGUCGUGAAAUCAUCAAAACCUUUUCCUUUGGGAAAAGGAUUUUGGACUUUGAGGUUCCAUGCUCGCUUUCUUUUGAAAGCGCGCUCCUCUCAAAUGAAUCAGUGACGUCCGCUUUGCCGAUCCUUGACGUGAUAAGAUGCUUCUACGUUUUGGAUUUGGCACUGUCCCUUGGACGCCUGCUCCUAACCGUCCCCAUGGACAAUGAUGGUGCUCCGGUCGACCGCGGCUCGACCCACGAAAAGAAAACCUUGACCUCAAAUCGGGUGAGACUACCCGCUGAACUUAAGCAUAUCAAUAAGCGGAGGCU
Molecule: unclassified non-coding RNA, 457 nt
Filed under: uncultured Russula
Lineage: Eukaryota; Fungi; Basidiomycota; Agaricomycetes; Russulales; Russulaceae
Description: sequence contains ITS2
Rfam family: 5.8S ribosomal RNA (bases 1-154)
Source: RNAcentral